UCAUGGCUCAGGAUGAACGCUAGCUACAGGCUUAACACAUGCAAGUCGAGGGGCAGCAUUAUCGAAGCUUGCUUUGAUAGAUGGCGACCGGCGCACGGGUGAGUAACGCGUAUCCAACCUUCCCAUCACUCAGGGAUAGCCCGCCGAAAGGCGAAUUAAUACCUGAUGGUCUCCUUCGCGGACAUCUAACGAGGAGUAAAGAUUUAUUGGUGAUGGAUGGGGAUGCGUCUGAUUAGGUAGUAGGCGGGUAACGGCCCACCUAGCCGACGAUCAGUAGGGGUUCUGAGAGGAAGGUCCCCCACAUUGGAACUGAGACACGGUCCAAACUCCUACGGGAGGCAGCAGUGAGGAAUAUUGGUCAAUGGACGGAAGUCUGAACCAGCCAAGUAGCCGUGCAGGAUGACGGCCCUAUGGGUUGUAAACUGCUUUUGUGCGGGAAUAAAGUUUGGGACGUGUCCCAUUUUGCAUGUACCGCACGAAUAAGGACCGGCUAAUUCCGUGCCAGCCGCGGC
RNAcentral lists this ribosomal RNA (512 nucleotides) under uncultured bacterium. Its description in RNAcentral is "bacterial SSU rRNA". It matches the Rfam family "Bacterial small subunit ribosomal RNA", at positions 17 to 518 of the family's 1533-position model. The record is from RNAcentral.